ACCUACGGGCGGCAGCAGUAGGGAAUUUUGCUCGGUUGUGGAGACCCUGACGCAGCAACGCCGCGUGGAGGAUGAAGGUUUUCGGAUUGUAAACUCCUUUUGUUAGAGAAGAUAAUGACGGUAUCUAACGAAUAAGCACCGGCUAACUCCGUGCCAGCAGCCGCGGUAAUACGGAGGGUGCAAGCGUUACUCGGAAUCACUGGGCGUAAAGAGCGCGUAGGCGGGAUAGCAAGU
Molecule: ribosomal RNA, 234 nt
Filed under: uncultured bacterium
Lineage: Bacteria
Description: partial 16S ribosomal RNA
Rfam family: Bacterial small subunit ribosomal RNA
Source: RNAcentral